This 305-nucleotide ribosomal RNA is filed under the name uncultured bacterium. RNAcentral describes it as "bacterial SSU rRNA". It matches the Rfam family "Bacterial small subunit ribosomal RNA", at positions 334 to 655 of the family's 1533-position model. The record is from RNAcentral.
UUCGCCUACGGGACGCAGCAGUGGGGGAUAUUGCACAAUGGGGGGAACCCUGAUGCAGCGACGCCGCGUGGGUGAAGGAGCGUUUCGGCGCGUAAAGCCCUAUCAGCAGGGAAGAAGGAGGACGGUACCUGACUAAGAAGCCCCGGCUAACUACGUGCCAGCAGCCGCGGUAAUACGUAGGGGGCAAGCGUUAUCCGGAUUUACUGGGUGUAAAGGGGGCGCAGACGGCAGCGCAAGCCAGGAGUGAAAGCCCGGGGCCCAACCCCGGGACUGCAUUGGGAACUGCCCCGCUCGAGUGCCGGAGG